RNAcentral lists this ribosomal RNA (253 nucleotides) under uncultured bacterium. RNAcentral's name for it is "partial 16S ribosomal RNA". It matches the Rfam family "Bacterial small subunit ribosomal RNA", at positions 524 to 776 of the family's 1533-position model. The record is from RNAcentral.
GACGAAGGUGGCGAGCGUUGUUCGGAAUCACUGGGCAUAAAGCGCACGUAGGCGGUCCGCUAAGUUGGAUGUGAAAGCCCUCGGCCCAACCGAGGAACUGCGUCCAAAACUGACGGACUUGAGGAUUGGAGAGGUGCAUGGAAUUCCUGGUGGAGCGGUGAAAUGCGUUGAUAUCAGGAGGAACACCGGAGGCGAAGGCGAUGCACUGGCCGAUUUCUGACGCUGAGGUGCGAAAGCCAGGGGAGCAAACGGG